Molecule: ribosomal RNA, 433 nt
Filed under: uncultured bacterium
Lineage: Bacteria
Description: partial 16S ribosomal RNA
Rfam family: Bacterial small subunit ribosomal RNA
Source: RNAcentral
AACGAACGCUGGCGGCAUGCCUAACACAUGCAAGUCGAACGAGACCUUCGGGUCUAGUUGCGCACGGGGGCGUAACGCGUGGGAACCUUCCCUUAGGUUCGGAAUAACUCCCCGAAAGGGGUGCUAAUACCGGGUAAUGUCUUCGAAUCAAAGAUUUAUCGACAUGGGAUGGGCCCGCGUUGGUUUGACUAGUUGGUAGGGUAAAAGCCUACCAAGGCGACGAUCCAUAGCUGGGCUGAGAGGAUGAUCAGCCACUCUGGGACUGAGCAACGGCCCAGACUCCUACGGGAGGCAGCAGAGGGGAAUAUUGGACAAUGGGCGAAAUGCUGAUCCAGCAAUGCCUCGUGAGUGAUGAAGGCCGUAGGGUUGUAAAGCUCUUUUACCCGGGAUGAUAAUGACAGUACCGGGAGAAUAAGCUCCGGCUAACUUCGUG